CAGCACAGGAGAAUAUUCUGUGAUGUGGAGCAACGAAGGGGGUUCAAAUGCCUGCAUGAACUUUUGAAAUGGAUGGAAAGCAGCACCAUGUUUCUACCGGUAUCUUGAUUUAACCUGAAGUAUCGGCCUUCACUCCACCUCAAGCCUGACUGCAUCUCAUGCCAGAGGAUGUUUGACCAUCACAUCCAAUGUAUGCCCUAAUGGUAUGUUUGCGAUUUAUACUUAUAGUUUUAUCUCUACUGUUUUUUUCUGUGUGUUUUAACUUACUAAAUACAAUCUGUGCCUGGUUAUUUGACUAUA
Long non-coding RNA from Sphaeramia orbicularis (orbiculate cardinalfish), 300 nucleotides. RefSeq lists it as uncharacterized. The transcript is spliced from 3 exons. Lineage: Eukaryota; Metazoa; Chordata; Actinopteri; Kurtiformes; Apogonidae. The record is from RefSeq and is a predicted model, not a curated record.